UGGCUUAGAAGCAGCCAUCAUUUAAAGAAAGCGUAAUAGCUCACUGGUCGAGUCGGCCUGCGCGGAAGAUGUAACGGGGCUAAACCAUGCACCGAAGCUGCGGCAGCGACACUUUAGUGUUGUUGGGUAGGGGAGCGUUCUGUAAGCCGUUGAAGGUGUCCUGUGAGGGGUGCUGGAGGUAUCAGAAGUGCGAAUGCUGACAUAAGUAACGAUAAAGCGGGUGAAAAGCCCGCUCGCCGGAAGACCAAGGGUUCCUGUCCAACGUUAAUCGGGGCAGGGUGAGUCGACCCCUAAGGCGAGGCCGAAAGGCGUAGUCGAUGGGAAACGGGUUAAUAUUCCCGUACUUGGUGUUACUGCGAAGGGGGGACGGAGAAGGCUAUGUUGGCCGGGCGACGGUAGUCCCGGUUUAAGCGUGUAGGCUGGUUUUCCAGGCAAAUCCGGAAAAUCAAGGCUGAGGCGUGAUGACGAGGCACCACGGUGCUGAAGCAACAAAUGCCCUGCUUCCAGGAAAAGCCUCUAAGCAUCAGGUAACAUCAAAUCGUACCCCAAACCGACACAGGUGGUCAGGUAGAGAAUACCAAGGCGCUUGAGAGAACUCGGGUGAAGGAACUAGGCAAAAUGGUGCCGUAACUUCGGGAGAAGGCACGCUGACACGUAGGUGAAGUGAUUUACUCAUGGAGCUGAAGUCAGUCGAAGAUACCAGCUGGCUGCAACUGUUUAUUAAAAACACAGCACUGUGCAAACACGAAAGUGGACGUAUACGGUGUGACGCCUGCCCGGUGCCGGAAGGUUAAUUGAUGGGGUCAGCGCAAGCGAAGCUCCUGAUCGAAGCCCCGGUAAACGGCGGCCGUAACUAUAACGGUCCUAAGGUAGCGAAAUUCCUUGUCGGGUAAGUUCCGACCUGCACGAAUGGCGUAAUGAUGGCCAGGCUGUCUCCACCCGAGACUCAGUGAAAUUGAACUCGCUGUGAAGAUGCAGUGUACCCGCGGCAAGACGGAAAGACCCCGUGAACCUUUACUAUAGCUUGACACUGAACAUUGAGCCUUGAUGUGUAGGAUAGGUGGGAGGCUUUGAAGCGUGGACGCCAGUCUGCGUGGAGCCGACCUUGAAAUACCACCCUUUAAUGUUUGAUGUUCUAACGUGGACCCGUAAUCCGGGUUGCGGACAGUGUCUGGUGGGUAGUUUGACUGGGGCGGUCUCCUCCUAAAGAGUAACGGAGGAGCACGAAGGUUGGCUAAUCCUGGUCGGACAUCAGGAGGUUAGUGCAAUGGCAUAAGCCAGCUUGACUGCGAGCGUGACGGCGCGAGCAGGUGCGAAAGCAGGUCAUAGUGAUCCGGUGGUUCUGAAUGGAAGGGCCAUCGCUCAACGGAUAAAAGGUACUCCGGGGAUAACAGGCUGAUACCGCCCAAGAGUUCAUAUCGACGGCGGUGUUUGGCACCUCGAUGUCGGCUCAUCACAUCCUGGGGCUGAAGUAGGUCCCAAGGGUAUGGCUGUUCGCCAUUUAAAGUGGUACGCGAGCUGGGUUUAGAACGUCGUGAGACAGUUCGGUCCCUAUCUGCCGUGGGCGCUGGAAGACUGAGGGGGGCUGCUCCUAGUACGAGAGGACCGGAGUGGACGCAUCACUGGUGUUCGGGUUGUCAUGCCAAUGGCACUGCCCGGUAGCUAAAUGCGGAAAAGAUAAGUGCUGAAAGCAUCUAAGCACGAAACUUGCCC
Molecule: ribosomal RNA, 1713 nt
Filed under: Salmonella enterica
Lineage: Bacteria; Pseudomonadati; Pseudomonadota; Gammaproteobacteria; Enterobacterales; Enterobacteriaceae
Description: partial 23S ribosomal RNA
Rfam family: Bacterial large subunit ribosomal RNA
Source: RNAcentral